UAGCUAAAUUCCUGUUUUUUCUGUCCUUCAAUGCGCGCGAGGUCAAGACAGGCUGUGAAGCUAUACAAAAAGUUGUUGGCAGAGUUAUUUUCCCGUAAUCAGGAUGCUAAACCAAUUGAUAGGAAAAUUGGUAAGCUUUGUGAAUAUGCUUCGAAAAACCCAUUACGAAUUCCCAAGUAUCUCAGGAAGGAUUGCAUUUAUCUUGUCAAUCUGAAAUGAUACGAAACAGUAUUGGGUUCGGGCUCCUGAAAUGAUCUGGUAAUCAUUAUAAGCCGGCUGGAUAUCAGUGAUUUGCUACUUAAUUUUGUGGAGAAAAUGUUUGAAGCUCAGUUGCGAAACUGCAGUUGAAAAGAUUACUUUAGAUGAUGUAUGGGUUUUGCAUAUCAUGCUGAGUGCAACAGUUCAUGAUGUGUUAUACUACAUGAGCCCCAUCUACUGUCAGGAUAUUAUCAACUCGGUUCAUGAUAGUCUUUCUAAAGCUUUAGACCAUAAUUAGAUGGGUUGUUUUGUAGUAGUGGAUACCUGAUCCACUAUCUAAGUUUUGCCAAAGUAGUAUACGUCUAAGUUUCCUAUCAAAAAAAGUUUUAAAAUUGCUUCUCAUCCUAUGCACACUAAACUGGAACAUUGGUCUGUUGGAGAUAUCUUGAGCAUAGACGGUCACAUCUUGAACAUAGACAGCCAAAGCAACCCAUUUCUGAAAAGCUUGAACCUAUGCUAGAUGAUGAACCAAAGAGUUAUACCCCUUAUAUUAAGUAUCCAAAGCUCGAAUUCAAGGUUCACACAUUCUUUGCUGUUGGAUCACAUCUUGGUGUCUUCCUUGCCCUCCGAAAUGUCCAUAUUGGAAUAGGAAAAGGGCAAGAUUAUAUGGAUGAAGAAAAUAUAAUUGAAGAGAUGCUGGUUUGUCGUCAAAUGUUCAACAUUUUUCACCCAUAUGAUCCUGUAGCAUAUAGAGUAGAACCACUUGUUUGUAAAGAGUUCCUCACCGUAUGUCCAGUUAUUAUCCCUUACCAUAGAGGUGGAAAGAGGCUGCAUAUAUGGGUUCCAGGAAUUUACUUAAGAUGUAGCUACUCGUUCUCAGGCAAUAGUGGACCAAUUCAACUCUGUAUGGUGGCAGAAAAUGCCGAAGAAAGAGAAGAAAGAUCAUAUGGUGUUAUAAUGAUGAAGAGGCUAACUGGAAGUGCAGAAGGACGGGUAGAUCACAUGCUUCAGGAUAAAACAUUUGAACAUCCUUAUUUACAAGCCAUUGGAUUGCAUACAAAUUAUUGGAGGGAUUACGACACCACCCUUUUCAUAUUGAAACACUUGUAUCGAGAUAUACUCGAAGACCUGCAUCUUCAAGUAAAGGCAACUCAAAGACCGGGAGUGCUUCCAUCGGUUGGUCUGAUCAAAGAGAAACAGUAGAAGAAGAACUUCCUCUGACAUUCUCCGACAGAAUGAUGGAUAGGACGCCUUCUCUCCCUCUUAUUUUUAUUGCCGGAGAGUAGAAGGAAAUAGCAUAAUAGCUUGCUUUUAUUCUUCAAAUGUACUUUUGAUAAGAAAACUUUCAUCACUAAACUUAACAAGAAGAUGCAAUGGGUGUAGAGGAAAGUACUUGUGGUCUAUACAGAGGGUUUAUGCUAUUUCCUUCCAGAGUAGAAGGAAAUAGCAUAAUAGCUUGCUUUUAUUCUUCAAAUGUACUUUUGAUAAGAAAACUUUCAUCACUAAACUUAACAAGAAGAUGCAAUGGGUGUAGAGGAAAGUACUUGUGGUCUAUACAGAGGGUUUAUGCUAUUUCCUUCCAGAGUAGAAGGAAAUAGCAUAAUAGCUUGCUUUUAUUCUUCAAAUGUACUUUUGAUAAGAAAACUUUCAUCACUAAACUUAACAAGAAGAUGCAAUGGGUGCAGAAGAAAGUACUUGUGGUCUAUACAGAGGGUUUCUGCGAGCAGCUGGUUCCAAAUCUCCCGAAGAUCGGCACCAGAUUGAAU
This is an RNA transcript of Pistacia vera, 1964 nucleotides long. It is a transcript of the gene named phospholipase SGR2-like, with no coding region annotated. The record is from RefSeq and is a predicted model, not a curated record. Lineage: Eukaryota; Viridiplantae; Streptophyta; Magnoliopsida; Sapindales; Anacardiaceae. The transcript is spliced from 14 exons.